Rattus norvegicus (Norway rat) is the source of this 14867-nucleotide non-coding RNA. Lineage: Eukaryota; Metazoa; Chordata; Mammalia; Rodentia; Muridae. The record is from RefSeq and is a predicted model, not a curated record.
UUCAUUCUGAUAUUUCAAAUAUAUGUAUGCAUGUGCACGUGUGUGUAUAUAUGCAUGUGUACAUGUGUGUAUGUGUGUUUGCUUUUGUGUAUGCAUGUGCAAGUGUGUGUAUGUGUAAUAUAGUAGACAGACCCAGUCAUGCCUUCAUUAUCUUCUUUUCCCUGUUCCCUUGUUGACCCCACAAAUAGCUCUUUUUAUUGUUUUCAUGUAAUAUUUGUGUGUGUACAUAUGUGUGUAUAGUUAAAUACAGAGUUCACAUAUCAAACUAUGUAAAUUUUUCUUUCUCCUCCUGCUAUUACCCUCUCUUUGUUCCUUCCUACCUUGAAGAAUCUCUUCCUCUUCACUGUCCCAUUUCUACAUAUAUCUUUUGAAACUCUCUCUGUCCCAUAUAUGUAUGUGUGUAUAUGUGCAUUUAUGUUUAUUCUCCAUAUCAGAGAAACAUGAAGUAUUUGCCUUUCCCAGUCUGGCUAAUUGCACUUAGCAUGAUUAUCUCUAAUACCAUCCAUUUGCCUGCACAUGACACAAUUUAAUUCUUUUGUUGUUUGUGACAGGGAUUCUUUGAGUAGUCAUAGCUGUCCUAGAACUCACUCUAGGUAUGCAUUCUAAGUAGACGAGACUAUCAUUGAACUCAGACAUCUAUGUGCUUCUGCCUCCUGAGUGCUGGGAUUACAGGCAUACAGCACCACUGCCCAGCAUCAUAAUUAAAUUCUUUAGAGACGAAUGAAAGUCUGUUGUGUGUGUGUGAUUUUCUUUUCCUGCUGAUCUGUGGAUGAGUAUCUAGGGUGUUUCCAUUUGACUAUUAUGUAUAGUGCAAUGGUAAACUGGAUGUGCCAGUUUUUCUAUGGUAGUAUUUGUAUUACUUCUUUGGAGAGAAUAUUAUUCUGCAUACUUAUAAAGUACUUCAGUCCAUGUGUGAUGGGAUGGGAACAUCCUGAUUGCCUAAGAGUUGGACCUGAGAAUCCUUAGAGGCUGUGGAAAUGCCUUUGAGAUGGUACCUACCAUCUUUCAGACUAUACUGCAAGUCUUAGGGUCAAGGGAACACCAGACAAUGAGUAUCUGCCAGUCUGGUAGAUGGAGAGGAAAAGAAAAGGGAAUGAGCUAGUUUUUCUAAAAAAUUACUGAUAGUUAAAAGAAAAGACUGCCAUUCUGUUUCCUGGGAGAAAAUUCUUUCUACAUUCUCUCACACACCCAUGUGCCUUUCAAGUGAUGUGCAAACCACCUUUUUUUUUUUUUUUUUUUUGCUAUACAACCCCCAUUAGAGUAUGUCUUGCUAUGGUUUGUGUAUAAUUUACACCCCAAGAGCUUCUUAUAUUAGAAGCUCAGUUCCCAGUGUAGUGGUUGUCUUAGGGUUUUACUGCCGUGAACAGACACCAUGACCAAGGCAACUCUCAUAAAGACAGCAUUUAAUUGGGCUGGUUACAGGUUCAGAGGUUCAGUCCAUUAUUAAGUCAGGAGCAUGGCAGCAUCCAGGCAGGCAUGGCUCAGAGGGAGCUGAGAGUCCUACAUGUUCAUCUAAAGGCUGCUAGCAGAAUGUGACUUCUAGGCACCUAGAAUGAGGGUCUCAAAGCCCAUACCCACAGUGACACGCCUACUCCAACACGGUCACACCCACUUCAACAGGGCCACACCUAAUAGUACUACUACUUGGGCUGAGCAUAUACAAACCAUGACAGUGAUGUUGAAAAGUUGUAGAAUAUUUAAAGUAAACACAGUGGAUACUGGGGAUACUGACCUUGGAGGGAACCAAGUAGUUCAGGACCUCAGUUAGGGUGUGUGUGUGUGUGUGUGUGAGAGAGAGAGAGAGAGAGAGAGAGAGAGAGAGAGAGAGAGAGAGAGAGGAGAUUGUUUGAAACAGGCAUUCCUGGCUCCUUAUUUUCUGGCUUCCUAUCUUGAUGCAAUCUCUCCUUCCCAUAUAUGCUCAAUCAUGAUGCCACCUACUGUGAUAGUUCAAGUGGUUAGAAAGGGUCAUUGACAGUACUGACAUCUGACUAUUGUUUGAACUGAUAUGCUGUUUGGACUGUCAGCCUCUAAAACUGUGAAUUAAAUAAAUCUCUUUAUUUCUAUAUAGAAUAUCCAGCCUCAAUUGUUUUGUUAUGGAAAGAGAAAAUGAAAAGAAUGUGAUAAAACAUAAAUGUCUCCUUCUGAAGCAAAGAUUAAUCUCACUAAAGGUUGAUAUUAAAAUAUUCAAGUUCACUGCUGUUUGAAAAGGGGUCUGCUAUGUAGAAAAGUUAUUUUGCAUUUGUAAUCUUCCUCCUCUGGUCAAUGUAGAACUCUCUAGGUAGCCCAGGCUGGCUUUGAAUUUGGAAAACCUGUUGCUUCUGCUUCCCAGGUUCUUUUAUUACAGAUAUGAACUACCACAUCUGGUUGAAAGUUCUUGCUUUGAUAUGUAACCCACUUUAUAUACAGAUGUCCUCUGGCCCACUACUUGUAGGAACCACCACAAAAUCAAUACUCUGAAUACUGGCUUCUUCAGAGACUUAAGCUGUUUCCUGAGUCCAUAGCUGUGUGCAUCCAAAUGACAUCCUUGAAGUUAGGGUAGGAUAACGUUUUGCAAUUACAAUAAUGUUGUAUUUAUAUUCCUCAUACUUUGCAAGAACCUGCUUGGGUGGUGGAUGUGAUAUUUUUUGUUUAUGCUUAUCUGAGCACAGAAGAAGGGAACCAGAAAGACUAUGGACACCGAGAAGAGUUAGAGUGAUGAGUUAGCAGACCACCAUUAGAUUGGAAACACAAUUGUCAUUGCCCAAAGUAAUAUAGCAUAACAACAGCAAGCAUGCAUCUCACAACCGAGAGUGUGAUUUAAGAUGGACUUACUCACUUCUUUUCUGAAGGUUCUUCAACUAGAAUAGCUUUGGCACCUUUAAUUUCCGAGCCAGUGGGUCAACCAAAACCAUGUAGGUUUCUCAUGGUAACAACAGUGAACAAGAAUGUGCAAGCCCAGAUGAUUCAUUUCCAAGUUACUACCUAUGGGGUGUUUGUUAAAAAUCCACCAACCUCACACAUGACCUCACAGUCAAAAUAAAGUUAAUUAAGGAAGCAAAUAUAUCUAAGGAGCAAAGAAAUCCCAUGUGAAGUCCUCGCUGAAAAAGUAAGGUGUGUAUAUAAUGUUUUUAGAAAAACUAUGCAAAGUUAGAGUACAGGCACGGGGAGGGCAGUGUACUAGAGCAGAGCGUGGAAUGCAAUGGGAAAGUGAGUGAUUCCAACGGUGCUUCUAAUAGGACUGAUUUUCUCUGGGCCCAGUGAGUAGGACGGGAGGCUGCUUAGGAUCACUUCCUGCCAGAGAAGAUUGCUGCAAUGGCUGAAGCCUGUGGGUGUCCCACAGAGAGUAGUAGCGUGUGAGUAGAGAGAGUAGAAGAGAAUGAACUGGAACUAGGUUACCCACAUUAGGAAACUAUGUCGUUUGAAAGCCCAAGGAACUCACAGGGACCCCUGGGUGAAAGCCAGCGUUUUAAACGCAUGUAACAUAUUGUGACCAGUGCAGAGACUGAAAACUGGUGCGGAGAGGACCACCGCAUGGAUGCAAUCUCCCUUCAUACCACUUCUCAUUAAAACUGCGUCUUGAAGAGAAAGGAAGCAGAAGAGUAAAUGGACUGCAUUGCUCUUCCAGUCUCUACCAACCCAACCAGAACUGAGGGGAGGAGGAAGAGAAAGAAAAGAAAAAAUGGCUGGAUGGCCCUUACGGCAUCCGGAAGCCCUAGUGCUGUCACUAGCACCUUGCUGGCUGAAGAAAGCAAAGCCAACCCCAUCAUGCUUCCCACAGCGAGCCUUGAUCUGAAGAUCUCAAAGAUUAAAACAGAGACUGAAGGAACACCCAUUCGGAGCCUGCCCCACAUGUGGCCCAUACAUAUACAGCCACCCAAUUAGACAAGAUGGAUGAAGCAAAGAAGUGCAGACCGACAGGAGCCGGAUGUAGAUCGCUCCUGAGAGACACAGCCAGAAUACAGCAAAUAUAGAGGCGAAUGCCAGCAGCAAACCACUGAACUGAGAAUAGGUCCCCUAUUGAAGGAAUCAGAGAAAGAACUGGAAGAGCUUGAAGGGGCUCGAGACCCCUUAUGAACAACAAUGCCAAGCAACCAGAGCUUCCAGGGACUAAGCCACUACCCAAAGACUAUACAUGGACUGACCCUGGACUCUGACCCCAUAGGUAGCAAUGAAUAUCCUAGUAAGAGCACCAGUGGAAGGGGAAGCCCUGGGUCCUGCUAAGACUGAACCCCCAGUGAACUAGUCUAUGGGGGGAGGGCGGCAAUGGGGGGAGGGUUGGGAGGGGAACACCCAUAAGGAAGGGGAGGGGGGAGGGGGAUUUUGCCCGGAAACCGGGAAAGGGAAUAACACUCGAAAUGUAUAUAAGAAAUACUCAAGUUAAUAAAAAAAAAAAAAUUUAAUAAAAAAAAAAAAGAUCUGAAGAUCUUAUGAAGUUUAGCUCAACCUCUGAAUUUAUUUUGGCUACUGAGUUAGUUUUCUAGCCUAGAAAAUAAAAGCUUUACAUGAUAAGUAGAGACACUUUAGUUCAAACUAAUUUCUAACCCUUACUAGUUCUGGGAUGUAUAUCCACACUUCCCUGAACCCUAAUGAGCUCAGUCGUGGAACAGAAAGGAUUAUUGUAAUGUUGGAGUGUGUGUGUGUGUGUGUGUGUGUGUGUGUGUGUGUGUGUGUGUGUGUGUUUAACUAAAGGAGAAUGAGGAAAUCUAGCACACAUUGGACAUGCACUGUUCCAUUGCUCUACAAUCAAACCAAAGGACAGCAGGGAGAGUCUCAGCUGAAGUGUGAUCCACACAGAAACAUGACCAUUUGGUGGCUUUAUCAGUCUCUUCUAACAGUGUGUUCGCUUUUCUUUUUAUGAUGAUUGCUGUAUUUUCUGCCAAAGGAGACUGAAAUCAUCUUAAGCCAAUAUAUAAGACCCAUCUUUCUAAACCACUUCCUCUUCUUGUUUCCUCUUUAAUCAUUCUACAUGGUGACUCAGCACUCUCUCUCUCCUCCCCACUCUCCCCCCACCUUUCUUUCUCUUUUUUCCUUUCUUGCUUCUCGUUCCUAUUCAUUUACUAAGCAGAAGUCCCUCUUUAUCCUUAACUCUGUGCUACCAAACUAAUCGCAGACAGCACCUCAGUGUACUUGCGUGGCAUGCUGGCUCUCCACUGAACUGCUUCUCAGGACAGAGAAGUAAGCUUCCCUUACGGGUUCCAAUCUGUUUCCACAGCAGCAGUGAAUCAGCUGGAUGAAGCCUCACAGUGAGUUUUUCAGGUGAUAUCAACUACAAGACAUAAUCUCCAUUUUUUAUGAAAAUCUAAUUUUUUUUUACUUAAAAAAAAAAAAUCUUCGGAACAGCCCCGCUAUGCUCCUUGUGGAAAAUGGUGUGCAUUCGCAGAGAGUUGAAGGUUUGUGUUUGGGAUUGACACAUCUGACAUGACUUUGCAGUCCACUAAAUAUCUCUGAGAGUCUUCCUUUAUGGAGGAUUCCUGACAGGAUAUGUUCCCAAGGCUUUAUUGACUUUACAAAUCAAAAGAAUUCUCUGUGGAUAACCUCUGAUAUCCUAACAUAAAGCACCACAACUGGGGUAGGACAGUGUGUGCAUCCCGGCUAGGUUUCUAUCGCUGUAAUAAACACCAUGACCAAAGCAGUUUGCGGAGGGAAGGGUUUACUUCCUCUCACAGACUUGCCUACAGACCCCAGUGAAGGAUGCGUUUUCUCAGUCGAGGUUCCCGGAUGACCCUAAGCUUGAGUCAAGUUGAGAAAAUAAAAGAUAAAAAUCUAGCUAGCAUGUUGUACAUGCUCAAAACUUUCUGUUAUAAAAAGUUUAAGUAUCAAGAUGAGGAGGUGGAGUAGAGAAUGUGGAACAUAAAAAUUUAAAAAAGUCAUUGUUCUAAUUCUUAGAUUGGUGGAUUUCAUAUCUGUUAUAUUAUUUUCACAAUUAACAUCUUUUUAUGGUAUUUACUUAGUCUUAUUUAUAUUUAAGUGGAAAUAUUAGAUACAGUCUUAAGAUAAAAAUGUAAUUAUGUGUGUGCAUGAGUCUGAAGGAAAGGCAUCCCUGUGAGGACAGUGCUAGCAGAGACCAGAGACGUCACACUCACAGCGUUUGGAGUUCUGGCUGGCUGUGCACCCUCUGCCCACAUGAGGACAGGGAACCGAAUCCCUGUCCUGUAAGACCCCUAUGGACUCUUAGCCACUGAUUCAUCCCUCCUGUCCCAAGAACUUACCUUUUCACCACUUUGUAUUCAAAUGUAAAGUUGAAUUAUACAAUAACAUGUCUGAUUCGUACACUAAGUUUAGCAAUUUAACACAUUGCCAUUUUUUAAAAAUAAUAUUUCUAUCUGCAUAUCUGCAUGUAUAUACUAAUUUUUGCUGAGAUGGUUGAAAGGCAUUUGAAACUUGACUGCUAAACACUUUCUUAUUCAACUUGAAAGAACAAUAGGUUCUUCUUUAUCAUAAGGGAAUCAAUGCUCCAAGUAAAGUUAAUGAUUUCAUAAUAUCAAUAAUAUCCAGUCCAUCGUAAAAUUCAUAUGGUAAGUUAAAGACAUAUCACUUGAUCACCCUGAAAACAUCAUGCUAGUGAGAGAAGUUAAAUAUAUAAAAGGCCAUAUGGUGUGGUUCUAUUUAUACGAGGUUUCUAGAAUAGGAGAACAUAUAAAGAUAGAGACCUUAGUGUUUGCCAGAAGUUGAGAGGAAAGUGAGAGUAACUACUGGAUGUGUAGUGCAGCUCUGCUUUUGGACCAAGUGAAAUGCUCCGGGAUUAUAUCAUCGCGAUGGUUGGCAGCCUUGUAAGCACAAAGCAAAAUUCCUACGUUUUUCAGCAUUCAUUAAGAUUCUCUCUUGUCAAAACCUCAGGGCAAUCGCCAUAAAAAGAGAAGGAAAUCAAAUGGAGAGCCGCAGGAAGUGAGAGAGCUAAGGGGAAAGUAAUCUUUCUUACAAGUAAAGCACACUGGCAUUGCAGGGCAGCAGGACAGAGAGAGGUAUCAAGAUGCGUGCAUGAAAGGAGCCAGCAGGAAGAAGCGGAAACCCCACCAGAGCUGACAUGCAACAAAGUACGUGCAGAAAAAGCCCACAUAAAUGUCAUAAUCUGCUUGGCACCGAAACCAUCAAGCCAUUGGCUUUUCUCUAGCCCUGGCCCACUUCCAGCACCAGAGGUGCUUUUCUUCCUUUAAAAACGUCUGUUUCUGCCACUACUCCUUAUCUGGGGUCUAAUCCCCUGUGGUGAGGCACAAGAACAUAGAAAUAUCAACAGAUACCCUCUUGGUCCUAAUCCUUUCCUAUAACAGUAGUAUUAUAUCGACACUAUGGCACUCAAGGAUUCUGGCUAGAUGUGGCAUUCAUGGUUUUAGGAGACUUAUUGUGUGUGCAACAGAAUCUUCAGUCACUUCAUUUCAUUCUGUGGAGGGUCAAGUAAGACUGUCAAAGUCCCAGUUCUAACAGGAGAGGGUCCAUAUGCUCCCUGGUUCCUGGUAGAUGUCCCAGUGUCCCAGUGACAAUGAAACAAAGAAAAGUUUAUCGUCAUGGCUUUAGAAGGAUCAGCUGACCUCUCAGACUGCAGAUCCCUUGGAAUGGAAAAGUACACGGCUCCAACAGAGAGACCUUUAGACUGACCACCUGACAGAGAAAAGAACAAGCAUUUUAUCUGGUUGUUGGAAUAGCCCAAAGUCCGGACCAAAAGAAGUUUUACCAGCCAAAAACAUGGACAUUCUUAAGAAAUAUUUUCCUUAUCGCUUGAAAUUUUUCCAUGUAAAUUUGUCCUUGAAGGCAUCAUGGCUCCCUGUACCUGACUGGAUUUUGAUUUUUUACUGUUAGGAUAACAAAGACAAAGGGAAGAGGUGCAUUCCAUGCACUGUUGACAAAGGAGAAGAGAGAUUUGGGGUUGGUAACAGGUUAUGGAUUCAGUACAUGAAGACUCCUAUCCCUAUGAGGGUCUCUUUCUGUUUUACAGCCAAGACUGAAGACCAGUCACAGGACCAAAGUAAUAUUGUUCAACAUGCCAAACAAAAACACAGUCCUUACCUUAAAAAGACAUGGACAUGCUUUGGGGUGGGAGGGGUGUUUGUUUGUUUGGUUGUUUUUCUGGAGUCGAUCACAGUGGCCACUGUCCAGGAACACAGAUAUAGGUUGUCCCGAAUAUGUCCUGCAAGGUAAGAAUUCAUGAAAUUUUUACAGUAACAGCACAAAGAAAGCCUCAUAAAUAAAACACCUUUCAGUUAUGCUGAUGAGUACAUGAGCCACAUAGGUUACAGCAAAGUGGGGGAAAGGCUGCUGUGGUCCUCAGAAAACAUCAGAUGGCAUUUGUAGUCUUUGAGUAGACUAGAGGUCUGUCUAUGCAUCCCUAAGGAAGUACCCUCGUUGUUAGGAUGUUAGGUCAUAUAAUGGAGUAGGCAACGAGUGGCCAUUGAAGGUGCAAAGUAGCCCAACACCGUUUGGCUCUGGACCUGCAACCUAACCGUCUCGAAUUACUGAAGCUCUAAUCAGCCGAUGGCCCUUGGAGAGCCUUUGGGAUAGGAACAGGCUCUUCAGGAACAUCGUUAACAAGAAGGAAAAUCUUCAGUUUUAGUGCCCGCAGAUUCCCGAACUUUAUCCUGUGCUCCACACAUAGGUUACAGAGCUAAUUCUAGAUUAAAUCAGCUGGAACGUGUCAGUCUCUGCCUUACAUUCUCUCAGCUUGAGGAAAUCCUCACAAGUGUUAAGUGUACAUGAAUCUUGCAUAUGGACUUCUGCUUGCUUUUUUUGCACCCAUUCCAACAAUAAUGAGAUAUUUACUACUCUUGAAAGACAAAAUUGCGGAGUAUUACCAAAUGGCAAAGCAAAACAAUGGUACAUAUUAUGGGAACGGUGCAUCCUGACAAGGGUCACUGAAAAUAUUAAUUAUAGGAAAACACACUUUGCAAUUUUGUUGUGUGUCAUUGUAUAUUUUUAAAUUGGUUUAAUUUCUAUUUUUAAAUAUACAAAUUUUCUCCUUUUUCAUUGAGAAAGAAGCCCAAUUAACAGAAAGAUGAAUGUCAAUUUACAUAACAACAAUUCUCUUGGCCUUAGAAAAGCUUAGCAUUUGGUUUUUCUGUAAAAGAAUGUCUCAGUGGGAUGUAUGCAUGUUUUUAAUCUGGAUUUUUUGGGAAACUCCUCAUUAUCUUUUGGAAUCUAAAUUUGAAUACAUAACAUGUCACCAUGUUCCUAGCUGACAUGGCUAAAAAUGCCUCUUCAUUUUUUACAGUUUGACCCUAUGACGUUGUCUGCCACCUUUUCGGUAUUCAUUAGUCACUGAUAAAGGUCUUUCCAACGCCACUCGAAUUAGCCAUCUUUUUAUAUCUUUGUGUUUGACUUCCCUUUCCUGGGUAUUCCAUGCCUCUUCUUAGUCUGGUCACUUUUUACUCAUUUUUGUGAACACAGACAUGCUUCUCUUAUACAGAACUAAUAUUCUACACACCGGGACAUGGGGUCCUACAGUGAUUUUUCUCUGUGCUUAAUAUACACCCGAAUGAGCACUGAUGUCCCAGGAGUCUUCUGACUGUGUAGUUAGACAAGAAGGCAGAUGAGCAGACAGGCAGCCGAAUAGGCAGAACUCCUGGCCUCUUCCACAAUCAUCCAAUCCCUUCCUUCUUUUGAUUAUUUGUGGUGUGUGUGUGCGUGUGUGUGCGUGUGUGUGUGUGUGUGUGUGUGUGUGUAGCUAUCUUUACAUUGUCAUGAAGAUGUACCUGCCUAUGUGUGUGUACCUGCCUGUGUGUGAGUUCAUGUAUAUGUGCAUUUAUGUGAAUGUACACUUACAUAGAGACAGAUGACAAUAUCCAAUGUCUUCCUCAAUCUAUCUCUACAUCAUUCUGUUUAUAUUGUCUUUAUUAUAUUUCCACAAAUCCUUAAAAUAUUUUUGAGGACAGGAUGUCUUUUGCCCUGGGGUUCAUACAUCUGGCCAAUGGGUUCCAGAGAUCCUUUUCUUUCUUCCCCAACAGUGCAGGGGUGGCUGGGCACAUACCACUACAUUUAGCUUUCGAUGAGGGUGCUAUAGAUCUGAACUCAAGUUUGUCAGGUGCGAAGGAAACUAUUUCUCCAAAGUCUGGUGCCUGUUCCCUUCUAUCAAAGGAACCAUUUGUUAUCACUGUCAGAAGGGACAAAUGACUGUCUGUGGUGCCUAUUAGUAUAACAAAGCACAUGCUGGUCUCCAGGCUUCCUUAGGAUUACAAGUACCUGUGGCUUUUCUCACCCUGCCCUCUACCCUAAACUUCUCUAGCCCAUAGGCUUCUCUCCCUGCAGGCUUCUCAUUGCCUUAUAACCCUGAGAUUUUGGCUAUGCACUCCCGUGUCUUCCCUCCUGCCUCUCUCUCAUAGUCUCUUUGCCCACACUCUUUUUGUCUUCCUCUCUACUCUUCCUCUCUUUCUAUCCUCUCCUGGCCCAGUCCAGUCUGCUGGCUAUGUUCAGUCUACUUCAUUCUCCCCCUGUUCUUGACUCUUCCAGAUGCCUCUGACUAUGCCUCCCUUCAGAUCUACAAUAAAAACCUCCCCCUCAACCAUACCUUGGAGCAGCCACAUCCUCAGUUUAUACAGAGCUGUCAAGUUUACAUGGCAAGCAAUAGGAGGAUUGAGCCACUGCCCCAGAUCUGGCAGUUUUAGAUAACAGUGUAUUCAUACCACAUGCAUGGCCAACCAAAUGUAGGCUCCUUAAGUUAAUUAUUUUCUCAUGCUGUGAUCAAAACUUGAUGUGGCUUUUUGGUUUAGAUCAGCCUUCAUAGGCUCAUAUGUUUGAAUACUUAAUCAUCAAGGAGUGGCACUAUCUAAAAGGAUUAGAAGGAUUAGAAGGUGUGGUCUUUUGGGUGGAAAAGAAAUACCCUACUGUGGAGUAGAUUUUGAGGUUUCAAAAGCUCAUGCCAGCGCAAGGCCCUGGGUUCGGUCCCCAGCUCCGAAAAAAAAAAAAAAAAGAACCAAAAAAAAAAAAAAAAAAAGCUCAUGCCAGCUCAGGCUCUCUCUCUCUCUCUCUCUCUCUCUCUCUCUCUCUCUCUCUCUCCCUCCCUCCCUCCCUCCCUCCCUCCCUCUUCCUCUCCCUCCUUGCUCCCCUCUCAUUUUCUCUUUGCUUAGAGAUCAGGAUAAAGUUCUCAGCUACUUCCCAAGCACCAUACCUGCCCGAUUCCAUUCUCUCUACCAUGAUGAUAGUGGACUAUGCCUCUGAAACUAUAAGCAAGCCACUCCCCCCAGCCCUGUUAAAUGCCUUCCAUUAUAAGAGUUGCCUUGGUCAUGGUGUUUCUUCACAGUAAUAAAAGAGUGACUGUUUUAUGUCAAUUUAACACAAGCUAAAUUCAUUUGAUAGGAGGGAAGCUCAAUUAAGAAAAUGUCUUCACGGGGUUGGGGAUUUAGCUCAGUGGUAGAGCGCUUGCCUAGGAAGCACAAGGCCCUGGGUUCGGUCCCCAGCUCCGAAAAAAAGAACCAAGAAAAUGUCUUCAUAAGAUCAAUAUGUUGCUAGAAUAUUAAUCUAGCAACAUGGCUGCUGUAGCAAGGAAUCACAUCCAAAGAUAUGAUCUAGCCAGAAUGCAGACUCGUCCUGGAUUACAGUGUGAUCUAGCCACAAUACAGACAUGCCCUUAGUAUAUACUUUUUUUUUUUUUAUUAACUUGAGUAUUUCUUAUUUACAUUUCGAGUGUUAUUCCCUUUCCCGGUUUCCGGGCAAACAUCCCCCAAUCCCUCCCCCUCCCCUUCUUUAUGGGUGUUACCCUCCCCAUCCUCCCACCCAUUGCUGCCCUCCCCCCAACAAUCACGUUCACUGGGGGUUCAGUCUUAGCAGGACCAAGGUCUUCCCCUUCCAUUGGUGCUCUUAUUAGGCUAUUCAUUGCUACCUAUGAGGUCAGAGUCCAGGGACAGUCCAUGUAUAGUCUUUAGGUAGUGGCUUAGUCCCUGGAAGCUCUGGUUGCUUUGCAUUGUUGUUCAUAUGGGGUCUCGAGCCCCUUCAAGCUCUUCCAGUUCUUUCUCUGAUUCCUUCAACGGGGGUCCCGUUCUCAGUUCAGUGGUUUGCUGCUGGCAUUCGCCUCUGUAAUUGCUAUAUUCUGGGUGUGUCUCUAGUAUAUACUUUUAAUCCCUAACAUUGAUGGUAAGGUUAGUUUGUAGAAGGAAGCAACCAUGUUUGGAAGUGCUGGCUAAUAGAGGAGAAGGCAAAGUGAUGAAUUAGAGAAAGAUUUGACAGACUGAAUCAGAGAUAAGAUAAAUCUAACUCAUGAAAGAACAGCAGAGGAAAAGAGGUUACUUAAGAGCAGCAAAAGAGCAAAAAUGUUGGUACUGUGUGUGUGUGUGUGUGUGUGUGUGUCUGUGUGUGUGUGUGUGUGUGUCUGUGUCUGUGUGUGUGUGUGUGUGUGUGUGUGUGUGUGUCUGUGUGUGUGUCUGUGUCUGUGUGUGUCUUAACAGGACAGUUUACAGAGACAGGUUACAGAGGAAACAAGCUAGACAUAAGUGAAGGCAGAACUAGCCAGAGAAUGAGAAGGAGACAGAAUACUAGGACAUACUGCCAAAAUUAGUAUGAGGCCAAGCAGAAGAAUUUAGUGAGAAGCUGAGAGAAGUCAGAUAAAAUAGGUCAUCUUGAAAGAUUAGUCUGUACGGAGGCUAAACAUUUCCAGGCCAAGGCCUAGUGAUAGUUAUAAAAGAGAAUGAAAUCUGGGCUCAGCCCAAGCCAUGUAUUGGCACAGUUUGAAUACAGCUCUCAUUUCAACCUAAUUUAUUUUCUUAAUUACAUUUUCUUAAUUAGUGAUUGAUGGGGGAGGGCACAGCCCAUUGUGGAUGAUGCCGUCCCUGGGCUGGUGGUCUUGGGUACUCUAAGAAAGCAGGCUGAAUAAGUGUUUAUUUGGCUUACACUUCUGCACUGUAGCCCAUCUUUGAAGAAAGCCAGGACUGAAGCGUUGAGGAAGGAGCUGAUGCAGAGGCCGUGAAGGGCUGCUGCUUAUGGACCUGUUCCUCACGGUUUGCUCAGCUUAUUGAGGAGGAGAAGAUAGAAUGGGGAGGGGACUUGCAUGAGGGGUACUAGGAGGAGAGGAAGGGCUGAUAUUUGCUUGUAAAAUUAAUCAAUAAAUAAAACCUUUUAAAAAGAACAAUAGAAGAAGAAGAAGAAGAAGAAGAAGAAGAAGAAGAAGAAGAAGAAGAAGAAGAAGAAGAAGAAGAAGAAGCAGAAGCAGAAGCAGCAGCAGCAACUCCUCCUCCAUACAGCCCAAGGAAAAGGAUUCCUUCUACCUGUGAGAACAUGGGGAAUAAUCUGGAGUCUUUGCUAGGGCUCCGGUUCAUUAUAUUAUUUUAUACCACUUGUCUUACUGUGUUUCUUCCCAACUGUUCACUCCUCGUCAAACCUAAAUAAAAUAUUCAGGCUUCUCUGAUUUUUUUUAGGUGGAUGUUUUUUAAGGUUCUUAUGUUGCCUAUAAUUUCUAUUAAAUACAUCUGUCUUUGGUUGUAGGGCUAUGGUCAAUUCACUCCUGAGCCCAGUAAUGGGUAUGGGUGAAAAGAACAUUUCUUUUCCCCCACCAAGAAAAUAAAAAGGGUUUCCCUGGAAAACUUUAUUGCAGGAUAAAAAAUGUCAUGUUAGGUGUUUUGUUUGGUUGGUUUGGAAUGGUUUUUUUUUUGUUUGUUUAUUCAUUUGUAGAAAAUUUUUUUUGUGUGUAGAGAAAUGAAAGAGAAUGGACUUCUGGAGUCAGAAACAUGUUGGUUGGCAUUAAAGAGCCAUCAGUCGUUAGUGGGGUAACCAUGGUGACUCCUAGUGCUUUUACCUUAGAUUACUAUUUGUAGCAUUGACUGAAUAGCAACUUAACAAUAGAUCCUGGUGAAGACUAUAUAGGAUUCUGGCCUGCUAGUAAAUAUCACCUCUUUCCGUUCUGGCAUGUUACAUGUGACAUUUAUGGAGACUGUGUCCUUCAUAUCCCCUUGCAGUACACAAGUGAGGAGCGAGACACCACAGAAUCUUCUUUCAUAAAUGAGUGGAUAGUUUUGACUUUGUUCCAAAUUGAUUUGGACAUUUAUGGGUUUACUUGAUUUAGGUGAGUCUCAAACCAGGCAGAUGCCUGAGUUAAUGAGGAUUUUUUAUGAGACUGCAACAAUACUGCCUUUUCUCACCUUGACCUUUUUUGCAUCCCAGAAUCUAGGAAUUUGAGGUGAAACUACAGUUUCUUCACCUAUGAACCCAUGUUAUGCAGCUAUUCACUCCAAUUAGGAAAUUUUGCUUUGUGGACCUAUCUCCCUCAGCUUCAUCAUUACCAUGGUUUAAAAAGUAAUGUACUGGGGCUGGAGAGAUGGCUCAGGGGUUAAGAGCACUGACUGCUCUUCCAGAGGUCCUGAGUUCAAAUCCCAGCAACCACGUGGUGGCUCACAACCAUCUGUAAUGAGAUCUGAUUCCUUCUUCUGGCACGUCUAAGGACAGCUACAGUGUACUCAUCUAUAAUAAAUAAAUCUUUUAAAAAAAAGGUAAUGUACUGUGCAUCGUCCACAGAGGACUCUGAUCCUCCACUCAGAACUAACCAGGUUCAGUGGGGAUUUAGAUCCCGUGAGUGUGCUUAGGAAGUAAAAAAAAAAUACAAUUUGAAUUAUUGUUUUGGGCAGAAAAGCAUAAAAGAUAAAUGAGUGCUAGUAGCUUUGGAUUUAACAAAAUAUGAGUUACUUAAUAGUGUCUGGGUUUUAAUUUUCAUUACUGGAGCUAGGGUUUUCAUAUGAAUAAAUGUACAGCCGUGGUCUCAGAAGGUACAACAAUUAUUGCCAGUUCUAAUUGUUCUAUUUUAGAGACCUUUAUUAACAUGAGACUAUCUCACUGGAGAAGGCCUUUGAUCCUGAAAGAAGUGAAAUAUAUAUGUAUAUGUAUAUGUAUAUGUAUAUAUCAUAUAUGUAUAUAUCAUAUAUAUCAUAUGUAAUUUUUCAUGUUGGAAUGAAUAUAUAAAUAAAAUACCAUAAAGCUUGAAA